Molecule: ribosomal RNA, 916 nt
Filed under: uncultured Lysobacteraceae bacterium
Lineage: Bacteria; Pseudomonadati; Pseudomonadota; Gammaproteobacteria; Lysobacterales; Lysobacteraceae
Description: bacterial SSU rRNA
Rfam family: Bacterial small subunit ribosomal RNA
Source: RNAcentral
AGCGGCGGACUCGCAAGAGCGUCGCGCGAUGGGAUGAGCCGAUGUCCGAUUAGCUAGUUGGCGGGGUAAAGGCCCACCAAGGGCGACGAUCGGUAGCUGGUCUGAGAGGAUGAUCAACCACACUGGAACUGAGACACGGUCCAGACUCCUACGGGAGGCAGCAGUGGGGAAUAUUGGACAAUGGGCGCAAGCCUGAUCCAGCCAUGCCGCGUGUGUGAAGAAGGCCUUCGGGUUGUAAAGCACUUUUGUUGGGGAAGAAAAGCACUCAAUUAAUACCUGGGUGUUCUGACGGUACCCAAAGAAUAAGCACCGGCUAACUUCGUGCCAGCAGCCGCGGUAAUACGAAGGGUGCAAGCGUUACUCGGAAUUACUGGGCGUAAAGCGUGCGUAGGUGGUGAGUUAAGUCUGUCGUGAAAGCCCCGGGCUCAACCUGGGAAUGGCGAUGGAAACUGGCUCGCUAGAGUGCGGUAGAGGAGAGUGGAAUUCCCGGUGUAGCAGUGAAAUGCGUAGAGAUCGGGAGGAACAUCAGUUGCGAAGGCGGCUCUCUGGACCAGCACUGACACUGAGGCACGAAAGCGUGGGGAGCAAACAAGAUUAGAUACCCUGGUAGUCCACGCCCUAAACGAUGCGAACUGGACGUUGGGAGCAAUCAGGCUCUCAGUGUCGAAGCUAACGCGUUAAGUUCGCCGCCUGGGGAGUACGGUCGCAAGACUAAAACUCAAAGGAAUUGACGGGGGCCCGCACAAGCGGUGGAUCAUGUGGUUUAAUUCGAAGCAACGCGAAGAACCUUACCUGGAUUUGACAUCCUUUGACAAUCCUAGAGAUAGGACUUCUGUAACAAUACAGCAAAGUGACAGGUGCUGCAUGGCUGUCGUCAGCUCGUGUGGUGACAUGUUGGGGUAAGUCCCGCAACGAG